Molecule: long non-coding RNA, 655 nt
Filed under: Mustela putorius furo (domestic ferret)
Lineage: Eukaryota; Metazoa; Chordata; Mammalia; Carnivora; Mustelidae
Description: lncRNA (ENSMPUG00000025438.1)
Source: RNAcentral
AGGACGCACACCGGCCUGUCUUUUCCCAUUUGCUAGCGCUGCAGCGCUCACCGGAAUGGAGUGCAAGGGCGAGCCUGGGGAUUACAUGGGAAGUAAAAGUCACGGGGCCGCGUGAUUGAUUAGGUGGGGCGCGUGGAACAAGACGAGGUUCAAUGGGAUUCCAAGAUUUUUCUAGUUUGAUUGAGGCGAUGGCUGAUCAUGCCACAGGUUUUAUUUAUUUGAGAGACGACAUGAGCUGGAGGGAAGGACAGAGGGAGAGGGAGAAGCAGGCUCCCCACCAAGCAGGGAGCCCGAUGUGGAGCUGGAUUCCAGGACCCUGAGAUCAUGACCUAAGCCGAAGGCAGACGCUUAACGGACUGAGCGACCGCAGACGGAUUUAAAUCCGAUCUCUAUGACCUCCUGGCUGUGUGACUUUAGGUUCCCCUCGGGUCCGCUCCACUCCGACAGCGACGUCACGUCACGUCAAGCGGGGCCUGCACAGGCCUCCGCCGACUCCGUCCUCUUAGCGGCAGUGACCUGCAAGAGCAUCUCCCCCGGGAGUUCCGGAAAGAAGCCUCAGCAUCGAGUUUCCAUUGGUUCCAAAGGCCCCGACCUCCGUCACAUGAUCAGCCAUAACCAAUCGCUGGCCAGCAACACUCUCAUGGGCUGGGCCUGA